RNAcentral lists this long non-coding RNA (264 nucleotides) under Ananas comosus (pineapple). RNAcentral describes it as "long non-coding RNA (ACOM_LNC010331)". Lineage: Eukaryota; Viridiplantae; Streptophyta; Magnoliopsida; Poales; Bromeliaceae. The record is from RNAcentral.
CCGUUUAGUUCGGGGUUAAGUAAAAACUUAUUAUUCCAGGGAUAGAGUUAAGUUCAAGGUUAAAGUGGGGUUAGAGUAAUUUUGUAUUUGGUUGAGAAUUGGGUUUAGUCCAGGUAUAGAUAAAAUAGUGUUUGGUUGUAAAGGUGGGAUAAGAAGGAUAGUGGGUAAAAUAGUGUUUUGUUUGGUUGGAGUAGUGGGGUGGGGUGGUAACCCCACCCCCCAAAUUGGGUGUUUGGAAAUAACUUCAGGGUUAAGGGGUUAUUU